UGGCUCAGUGGUUUAGAGCACUGGCUGNUCUUCCAGAAGACCUGGGUUCAAUUCCCAG
Molecule: transfer RNA, 58 nt
Filed under: Neotoma lepida (desert woodrat)
Lineage: Eukaryota; Metazoa; Chordata; Mammalia; Rodentia; Cricetidae
Rfam family: tRNA
About the family: Transfer RNA (tRNA) molecules are approximately 80 nucleotides in length. Their secondary structure includes four short double-helical elements and three loops (D, anti-codon, and T loops).
Source: Rfam by way of RNAcentral